This 1264-nucleotide ribosomal RNA is filed under the name Acinetobacter sp. 2002-2301217. RNAcentral describes it as "bacterial SSU rRNA". It matches the Rfam family "Bacterial small subunit ribosomal RNA", at positions 162 to 1420 of the family's 1533-position model. Lineage: Bacteria; Pseudomonadati; Pseudomonadota; Gammaproteobacteria; Moraxellales; Moraxellaceae. The record is from RNAcentral.
GCUAAUACCGCAUACGCCCUACGGGGGAAAGCAGGGGAUCUUCGGACCUUGCGCUAAUAGAUGAGCCUAAGUCGGAUUAGCUAGUUGGUGGGGUAAAGGCCUACCAAGGCGACGAUCUGUAGCGGGUCUGAGAGGAUGAUCCGCCACACUGGGACUGAGACACGGCCCAGACUCCUACGGGAGGCAGCAGUGGGGAAUAUUGGACAAUGGGCGSAAGCCUGAUCCAGCCAUGCCGCGUGUGUGAAGAAGGCCUUUUGGUUGUAAAGCACUUUAAGCGAGGAGGAGGCUCCUUUAGUUAAUACCUAAAGWGAGUGGACGUUACUCGCAGAAUAAGCACCGGCUAACUCUGUGCCAGCAGCCGCGGUAAUACAGAGGGUGCGAGCGUUAAUCGGAUUUACUGGGCGUAAAGCGUGCGUAGGCGGCUUUUUAAGUCGGAUGUGAAAUCCCUGAGCUUAACUUAGGAAUUGCAUUCGAUACUGGAAAGCUAGAGUAUGGGAGAGGAUGGUAGAAUUCCAGGUGUAGCGGUGAAAUGCGUAGAGAUCUGGAGGAAUACCGAUGGCGAAGGCAGCCAUCUGGCCUAAUACUGACGCUGAGGUACGAAAGCAUGGGGAGCAAACAGGAUUAGAUACCCUGGUAGUCCAUGCCGUAAACGAUGUCUACUAGCCGUUGGGGCCUUUGAGGCUUUAGUGGCGCAGCUAACGCGAUAAGUAGACCGCCUGGGGAGUACGGUCGCAAGACUAAAACUCAAAUGAAUUGACGGGGGCCCGCACAAGCGGUGGAGCAUGUGGUUUAAUUCGAUGCAACGCGAAGAACCUUACCUGGCCUUGACAUACUAAGAACUUUCCAGAGAUGGAUUGGUGCCUUCGGGAACUUAGAUACAGGUGCUGCAUGGCUGUCGUCAGCUCGUGUCGUGAGAUGUUGGGUUAAGUCCCGCAACGAGCGCAACCCUUUUCCUUAUUUGCCAKCGGGUAAUGCCGGGAACUUUAAGGAUACUGCCAGUGACAAACUGGAGGAAGGCGGGGACGACGUCAAGUCAUCAUGGCCCUUACGGCCAGGGCUACACACGUGCUACAAUGGUCGGUACAAAGGGUUGCUACCUCGCGAGAGGAUGCUAAUCUCAAAAAGCCGAUCGUAGUCCGGAUCGCAGUCUGCAACUCGACUGCGUGAAGUCGGAAUCGCUAGUAAUCGCGGAUCAGAAUGCCGCGGUGAAUACGUUCCCGGGCCUUGUACACACCGCCCGUCACACCAUGGGAGUUUGUUGCAC